UGGGGAUUAUUGCACAAUGGGCGCAAGCCUGAUGCAGCCAUGCCGCGUGUAUGAAGAAGGCCUUCGGGUUGUAAAGUACUUUCAGCGGGGAGGAAGGUGUUGAGGUUAAUAACCUCAGCAAUUGACGUUACCCGCAGAAGAAGCACCGGCUAACUCCGUGCCAGCAGCCGCGGUAAUACGGAGGGUGCAAGCGUUAAUCGGAAUUACUGGGCGUAAAGCGCACGCAGGCGGUCUGUCAAGUCGGAUGUGAAAUCCCCGGGCUCAACCUGGGAACUGCAUUCGAAACUGGCAGGCUAGAGUCUUGUAGAGGGGGGUAGAAUUCCAGGUGUAGCGGUGAAAUGCGUAGAGAUCUGGAGGAAUACCGGUGGCGAAGGCGGCCCCCUGGACAAAGACUGACGCUCAGGUGCGAAAGCGUGGGGAGCAAACA
This 427-nucleotide ribosomal RNA is filed under the name uncultured bacterium. RNAcentral describes it as "partial 16S ribosomal RNA". It matches the Rfam family "Bacterial small subunit ribosomal RNA", at positions 355 to 774 of the family's 1533-position model. The record is from RNAcentral.